AGCUGCCUUCUCUGCCCUCAAGAAAUGCCUGAGACUUGAUGGCUGAGUGCUGAUAAGGGGGGCUGAGGAGGCUCUGCUCACCUGCCUCCUCACACAAUGGAACCUGCAGUUUCUGCUCUGAGUCACUCAGGGAGGCACCCGCUCUCCUUGUGUUUUGUUGACCUCUCCCUCACAUGCAUUAAAAGCAGCAGGAGCCAAAAUAUAUAGCCGCCAGGCAGCUGGGAGAACUCAGCCGGGCUGUGGGAACAAGGCAGAAUCACCUCAUCCUCUGCCAGAGCGACCAAUCCUCUGUGAGGCUCAUCGUUCCUGUGUAUCGGAUCCCAUCAAGUCACCGCCUCAUGUGUGCAUCCUCACGGCAGAUGAGGGCUCCCCGAGGAUCACCACAAUAGCCCGAUGGCGGAAGCAAGUCCAAUCUUCUCAUCAUGUGACAUUUGACCCAUGAGGGUACAGAGGCUCAGCAAGCAAGGGCUAUUACAAUAGGAAAAGCUAAGUGGAAGCCAGUGGAAUCACUUCUACUUAUAAAAGAUUAAAUUACAGAAAUACCUAUUUCUGGAGGCAUUGCAGAAAUUAGUGCCCCCAUCGUGGACUUGAAAGAUGCAGAGACGGUGAAUCUCACCAUAUCCCCAUUCAGCUUGCUUAUUUGGCCUGAUAAGUGGAUCUUGGAGAAUCACAGUGGAUUAUUAUAAACUUAAUUGGUGACAACUCCAAUUAAAGUUCCUUUUCCACAUGUGGUUUGGUUGCUGAAGAAAAUCAACAUAACCUCUGGCAGCUAUUGGUCCAGCAAAUGCUUUCUUUCUCUAUACCUCUUAAAAAAAGACCACCAGGACCAGUUUGCUUUCAGCUAGCAGGACUGGCAAUAGGCCUUCACUGUCCUGCCUAAGGGCUAUAUUAACCCCCAAAUCUACUGUCAUAAUCGAAUCCAGAGACCUUGACAGCCUUUCCACUCCACGGGAUCUUCUACAGACCUACUGUGCCGAUGAUAUCAUGCUCAUUGUUUCUGGUGAGCAGGAAAUAACAGCUAUUCUGAAGACCUUGGUAAGAAAAAUGCAAGCAGAUGGAGGAAAAGGAAUCUUACAAAAGAUCAGGGACCAGCUAUUUUGGUGAAAUUUCUGAGUCCGGUGAUCAGGGCAUGUUGAGAUAUUCUAUCCAAAGUGAAGGAGAAAUUGCAGCAUCUGGUCUCUCUUACCACUGGGGAAAUGGCAGAAUGCCCAGCACACCUCUGGAUUUUGGAGGCAACGGUACUUCAUUUGAGCAUGCUACCUCAUCUCACUCACUGAGUAACCCGAAGGCUGCCACUUUUGAGUGGGGUCCGGAAAAAGAGAAGACAUUGCAACAGAUCCAGCCUGUCAAUCAAGCUGCUCUGACACCUGAAUGGAACGUAUGAUUCAACACAUCCAUUUGUGCCAGAAAUGUCUGUGUGUGGCAGAUAAGGAAGGCAUAUGGAAACUUCAGCAGGUCCCAAUAGCUCCUGACUUUCCACUGGGCCUGUGAGUCCACAAGGCCCGGGGUUGGGCUGCAGUCUCCAGAGACCUGCGACUAGAGCUUUGUUACUGGAUAGACCGCUCAGCCCUGGAUCUCCUCUGCUCGGCAGACAUCCUCUCCCAGGAGCCCCUCGGCUCCCUGCUGUUACCCUUCACCCAGGCCCGAAGAGCAGCUCCUUCAAGAAGCUCACAGACUCCUGAGAAGACACAGAGAUUGUCUGCUCGGCUGAAGUCGAAAUAAAACAACUAAACAGACCAGGGCAGCAACGGAGAGAACAAUUUUCUCUGGAGCUGUGGUCCUCAUGGUGUAGUCACUGAAAAGCACCAUGAGUGUCAGCUGGGAACUUCUUGGAAAUACAAAUCCUGGACCCCGCCUCGGCUGUUGAAUCAGAAAGCCCGGGGGUGGAGCCCGGCGAUCUGUGUUUCGACAAGCCCUCCUCGCUCUGAAGUGUGGGAACUUGGGACGGUGGUGAUGGGUGGGGGCAGAGGGAGUGUGGCAACCUCUUGGAAGAAUCCAGGAAGAGCGUCCCCUGGGGCCCGUGGAGGAGCGCAGCCAGACGCGGGAAGGAGGGCAUGCCCGCCCAGCACAGGACCCGCUCUGCAUCCCGCAACCACUCCCAGCUCGGCGUACCUUCUGAUGUAGCUUUAAGAGUCUCGGAGUCAUCACUUUGUUGAUGUUGUGUUGUCUAGAGUAAACAGCGAAGAAUUCUUUAGAGUCAAAUAAGAUUGCUUUGUGUUUUAAAAAAAGAUCUCUUGGUUGAACUCCAUUUUGUGUUCUACCUUUAAGUAAGGAGUAUCUUUAGACUAAUUUCUGAAAGUUACAAAAUUCACCUAAUGAACUCGUCCGACCUCUUUUCUUUGACUCCUUUAAAGAAAGCAUAUAGCUUUUAACACAAAAGUUCUUCUCAAAGUGUUUUGUUUUGGGGGCAAAUUUAUGCUCAGAGAUUUGAGUUUGUCUUUGUCAAUAUUUUAUUUAACGUGGGUUCACUAUGGGAGUUAUAACAACUUCACAAGCCAAGAGCAUACAGAAUAAGUCUCUUAAUAAGCCAAUAAAAAGAUAAUGUACUCCAAACCAAUGAUAAAGCAAUCACACUAUUGUUCCAGGCAAGAGGAGAUAAAAGGAAUAAAGUCCACAUUUAAUUGAGGUGUACAGUUUUAUGCGUCGGCUAAACCAACCAAGAGCUCACUUCCAGCUGCCAGUGCAAAAUAAAAGUUUCUCGCUGUGGCCCGUUGCUAGUGAAUGCAGGUGCCGGUGUUGGCCCACAAGUUGCUCUCCUGCAUGGGGCCGCUGUGCCGUUUGUCACCCCUACUGAUAAGGGAGGCACCCUGACCUCAGUAGGAGCUAAUGCCCCAAGGUCUUCGGCGAGUUUAUGUAGGUCAGCAAAGCUUGCCUUGCCCAGACCAAAACUCCCGGGUGUUCCUCUCAAACCCGGGUAUUUGGAGUCUAAAUGUCCCCUUGCCACGUGGUUGCUACUCCACAUGUUUUUACUAAUAGGUUCCCCAGCAGUGCCCCUCAUAAGCUGAGUGAUGGAGUGCUUAUCAAUGACAACAGAUAAGAUGAUAAAUCCCAACACAACUUUCUUCAUUCUUAUAUCAAAACAACAAUAGUUGUCUUUGUCCUAAACAAGUAGCUUAAAACAAUUUCGCUUAAGUCAUAAACAAGUGGACUUGAAAUCAUAUCAGACCAAUACACAACACAAAGAAAUUAAAGAUGGAUAGCUUAGACAUUGCUUAUGUAAUAAUUCUCUUCUCUUGGACAUUUAUUUUGUCUUUCAACUUUAUUUCCCCUGCAAUUCAUGUACCCGCCAUCUUGUCUCCAACCUCCCCACAGACUUCCUGGCUUUGAACGAGGAAGCCAGGUCACCAACCUGUUACAAUCGUACAGAGUUAAGGGUGAAGCUCUAAGCAGGAGACUUUCUCCCUUAAGUGUCAUGCAUGGAUGCUACUUUGCAAUUUCAUGGUUUAGUGAAAAAAGAGCAGUUUCCAAUCAGACAAAUUAAGGUUCAAUCUUAGCUCUACCUCUCACGAGCUGGUCAUUAAACCAUAAGUCUGCGUUUCCUCACUUCCUUGGCUCUAACACGGGGCUAAGGACGUACUGUGGGGGUAAAUAAAAUAAUCAUGUGUAAAGUAGCCGGCAUGUAAUAAACAGUGAUUGUUAUUGCUACCUUCCUGUCCUUCUUUCAGGAUAACAGUAAAAUGUGCAGAGCUCAGACUCAGAAGCAGAUUAGCCUGAAUCCAGU
This is a long non-coding RNA of Equus caballus (horse), 3721 nucleotides long. NCBI's taxonomy places the organism in Eukaryota, Metazoa, Chordata, Mammalia, Perissodactyla, Equidae. The record is from Ensembl.